Molecule: small nuclear RNA, 104 nt
Filed under: Sorex araneus (European shrew)
Lineage: Eukaryota; Metazoa; Chordata; Mammalia; Eulipotyphla; Soricidae
Source: RNAcentral
GUGCUCAUUUCAGCAGCACAUAUAGUAAAAUUGGAACAAUACAGAGAUCAGCAUGGACCCUGUUCGACCUUAAAAAAUAAAAUAAAGGGGCUGGACUGAUAGCA